Non-coding RNA from Mesocestoides corti, 302 nucleotides. Lineage: Eukaryota; Metazoa; Platyhelminthes; Cestoda; Cyclophyllidea; Mesocestoididae. The record is from Rfam.
GCUUAAUUUGACUCAACACGGGAAAACCCACCCGGGCCGGACACUAUGAGGAUUGACAGAUUGAUAGCUCUUUCCUGAUUUGGUGGUUGGUGGUGCAUGGCCGUUCUUAGUUGGUGGAGCGAUUUGUCUGGUUACUUCCGAUAACGAACGAGACUCCAGCUCGCUGAUUAGUGCGUUUGUCCAAUACACCUGUGUAACCGGCGUCCGGCAGGGCUGCUCCUGUCUGCUAUCUUGGCGUGUAGCGUUGCUGUCGCUGGCGCCUUUGUCGUCAUAGCCGUUGUUGCCUAAGCUGCUGUCGCAGC